AGUGCGCAUACUGGGCCGUUUCGGGUUGGUUUCCUGGGUUGUCACCGGGCGCCUGAUUUGGCGGCGGACGCCGUGGGAGCGUCAGGCAAGCGUGCGGAAGGGGAGGGAGAGCACUUGGUGGUUGGCUCAAGAGGGUGCGGAUUCAGGAUUCAUCAGAGGAGAGGAAACAGGUAGCUGACAGAACCAGCGAUCUAGAGAGUGCUAUCCGUAGCUUCGUUGAGAACAAAGGCUGUUCAUUGCGGUCAGGACGGCAACAGUGAAGAUUGCCAAAUAUGUGGAAUGGAUGGGACCUUGGUAUGCUGCAAUGGCAGCCAUGGGCAUAACAUUCAAGAUCUCAACAAAGCAUUCCUACCCCAGGUACUUUGGUUCUGUCCAGAAUGUGUGGUCAACAAACUUGGAGUAACCUCUUCAAGAAUAGAUCGUGGGGCAAGAGGAGUUCAGAUGUUUGGCAUCGAUAUCUGUGGGUCUCUUCCUAGGAUCCUGUAACUAUUUGCUGGUGUAAGUUUGUGCUACAUUACCUUGUGAUUCAGUCUACAUCUCCAGCCCACUAUUGACAAAUACUUACGAUUCAUUUUGAACUCCACAACGUACCUUCAUUGCUUGAUAAAAUGAUAAACAUGCCAGCAGUACAAACUAGAAAGUUGGAUGUUGUAUUAACAAGGGAAUAGUCAUAUAACACUGGUGACUUAACCACAUUUAUGUUGCACAAGUCCUUUGAUACCAUAUGUCCUUUCUGUUCUCAUCCCUGUGCUCAUUUUGCAGUGUUCAACUGUAGAUGGGAUGCUACCCAUAAAUACCUCUAGUUGUUUUCUCUCUUACCUGUCCUGGAACUACGGUUGUAAAUUUUGUCCAAUUGUAACUGUCAAAUAAUGCAGACUUGGAGCAUCUAGGAUGCAGAGUCAUACACAAGAUAUUACAAUCAGUAUGAUGUUGUCAAGGUGCUCCGAAUACUUUCCUGUUCAGACGCAUAUACAAAUAUUUGUAGGAGAAUAACGGAGUACUGGAGGCAUCUGCUUGAUAUAUUUCAGAACGAGAAGAUCAAAAAUAGGUACAGAAGCUGGUGCAGGACAUACUACACAAUCCAAUACAGCAGUAUGUCCGAGCACUUCCAUACUCUGCUUUCAUUGCUCGGACAACUUCAAAAGAUGGCACAGACGCAGAGCACCUAGAGGGACGGCGAUUCAUGAUGGCUACUGUAGUUGCUGCCUAAGAGAGCAUGUUAUGUUUGGCCCAAUAAAAACACAUAUUGACUUAAUUACCAUUAAUCAUAAUAACAUAUUGGGUCUCCGUGGGCAUUAAUCCACUUUGAUGUCUUAUUGCUACCAGAUCAAAUAUAUCUCACUCAUUAAAUCUUGAUUGUUAGAUUUCAAAUUCAACGGCUAGAAUAAUUGGGUGUGAUGUGAAUCCACGUGGAGACUUUCCUCA
Long non-coding RNA from Brachypodium distachyon (stiff brome), 1425 nucleotides. RefSeq lists it as uncharacterized. Lineage: Eukaryota; Viridiplantae; Streptophyta; Magnoliopsida; Poales; Poaceae. The transcript is spliced from 4 exons. The record is from RefSeq and is a predicted model, not a curated record.